This 406-nucleotide ribosomal RNA is filed under the name uncultured bacterium. RNAcentral describes it as "partial 16S ribosomal RNA". It matches the Rfam family "Bacterial small subunit ribosomal RNA", at positions 29 to 526 of the family's 1533-position model. The record is from RNAcentral.
AUUGAACGCUGGCGGCAGGCCUAACACAUGCAAGUCGAACGAGUGGCGGACGGGUGAGUAAUGUCUGGGAAACUGCCCGAUGGACGGGGAUAACUCCUGGAAACGGUAGCUAAUACCGCAUACCAUCGGAUGUGCCCAGAUGGGAGUAGCUUGUAGGUGAGGUAACGGCUCACCUAGGCGACGAUCCCUAGCUGGUCUGAGAGGAUGACCAGCCACACGGGAACUGAGACACGGUGCAGAAGCCUAAGGGAGGCAGCAGUGGUGAAGAGUGCACAAGGGGCGCAAGCCUGAUACAGCCAUGCCGCGUGUAGGAAGAAGGCCUUCGGGUUGUAAAGUACUUUCAGCGAGGAGGCGGUACACGAAGAAGAAGCACAGGCUAACUCCGUGCCAGCAGCCGCGGUAAUAC